This is a long non-coding RNA of Lolium rigidum, 1760 nucleotides long. RefSeq lists it as uncharacterized. The record is from RefSeq and is a predicted model, not a curated record. The transcript is spliced from 2 exons. NCBI's taxonomy places the organism in Eukaryota, Viridiplantae, Streptophyta, Magnoliopsida, Poales, Poaceae.
GCGACCUCUUUUGCGCCGCCGAUCUUCAGAGCGCCGCCGGCUCUUCCUCCCGCUCCUCCUCGCCGCCCCCCUCUCUUCCGGUAUCCCUAGUUCACUCGUCGGCAUCACCUCUGCAACCUCGACCCUCUCUUUCCACGGACAUACAGGUCAGGGGCCAGCAAUCUCUCCACCCACACCAGCGUUCAGGGCGUUCCCGCGGUGGCUAGAGACGAACUCCUCUCCUUCGUGAAGGUCCCGCUUAUUUGUGCAGCCUGCAGAAUUCUAGUUCACGCAAGGAUACAUCCUCAGGUUAGAUCACCGUUUGCCUUCCAUACUAUAUGCAUACAGAUAAGGUGUUUGAUAGUUUUACAUAGAUAAAAUGUGUUUCUGUUUCCGGUUAACUGCUACAACAUGGCAUGAGGUUGGGCUUAAACUUUUGUUAGACUGCUAUUUUUCUGAAGUUUUUUACUGAGCGAAAUUUUAAAUGAUGUCACGAGGUACCAAACCUCCAUCAGAUUUAUUCCCCGCUCGUGAACUCUGACUAUGCUAUAUGUAUUGCAGGCUGUGUUGGAAUUUUUUGAUUUAAUUUGAUUGUGCAUCAAUUAUUAGCUGAUGAUGAUGUACAUCAGUGCUUGGCAAGGUUUGUCACUCUCCCGCAAGUGAGAUUCUAUUAGAUGUAGAUGGACAUGCUUCGCCCCUCUGUAUUAGUUAAGAUCUAUAACUAUUACCAUAAAUUUGGAUCAUGUUUGCAUAUUGUUUAUUAAUUUUUUUUUCCUGUAGAUAUGAGCUGUGCAAAAAACAAGCUAAAAUAUCGAAGUGAAGAGAUGGUGUUCCUUUGUUAUGGAUACUGCCUCUAAUAGUAAAAUACUUCGGUGCUGCUGUGUUAAUGCUUGGUCGUUGAGCGUGGGAAUAUAUCUACGCAAUUCCAUAUACUUUUGGUAUAAUCCAUUUUUUUUGUUUAGCCAGUGCAGGAUAUGUUGAUGGUUCGAUAGGAGCCUUUUUAAACUUUUCUCUAUUUGAGGAGAGAACAAAAAUUUACAAGGUAGCAAACCACAGUUCUCAGGAGUCACUAGUUUCCAGAAAAUGAUGUAAUGUAUGUUCAAAACAAUAUUUACUCUUCAAAUGUAUAUACUCAUAUAGUACUACAUAGUAAAUUUCUCUUAUUGGUGUGCCUAUCCAAAAGUGAGACUUACUAAUGAAGUGUUCUAGUUAAUCUACUGGUACUUUGAUUUCACUUUCUGUACAGGGCAACCAUUUCAGAUGCUUUUUGAAGUUGGACAACAAAAAUAUCCUUUCGGCGGUUUUAGGGGAAGCCUUCUUUGUGCCGUGAAAUUCAGUCACUUUUACCAUAAUAUUGUUCAUCAGUUUGCGCCGACAUAUCAUGAAUAUGUGCUCUACAGCAAAGAGGGAGAGGAUGAACCGACAAAAUAUAGCCCUGGCAGUAUCGUGCCAUCUGGACUGGACAUGCAGCUAGUUGAAAUAUCUGUUAUGGAUGUGAAAGUUCCAGUUUCAUCAAGUUUAUUAUCUUCUGAUGCCAAACCAUGCCCUCUCAAGUCGUGGAUGGAUAUCUAAGGAGAAGUUAACAUGGUGGCUUGCAAGCUCAUGUACUAUUAACUGUAUACAAGAUCUUAUAGGUAGAUAGAUGCCAACUAGGUGGACACAAUGCAUUCAGGAUUUAAAUGAAUUUUAUCCAGUCGAGUCUGAUCUUCCCUUUGUAAUAGAUCUACAGUUUGGCUGUAAAAUACAUUUGAUCUUAACAAAUAAAGAUCUUUUUUUUCUAA